This 1011-nucleotide long non-coding RNA is filed under the name Harpegnathos saltator (Jerdon's jumping ant). RNAcentral's name for it is "uncharacterized LOC105190472, transcript variant X2". The record is from RNAcentral. Lineage: Eukaryota; Metazoa; Arthropoda; Insecta; Hymenoptera; Formicidae.
UCGAUGAGCGGGAGUAAUUCAGUUAACACGUGCGAGUGGUGAUAUCUUAGCAGUUUAUAACAUUGUCCAGCUUUUUUACCAUGAUGGUGAUGUGGCUCUGAUAAACAGUUUGUGGCUAACACUACGUAAACAAGAGGUAUUCUGGCCACCUUACAAAUCUCAAUCUAAAUUUGAUAAGGCAAUGAAAAGUAGUAUAAUCCCAGAAGAAAACAGUUUUUGGGCCAUUUAUAAAAUUAAACGAUACUUUUUUGAAACAGAUGACUUUAAUAAGGCGCAACAUAAAAUAAAGCAAGCACAAUUAACGUCUGAUUGCCAGAGUGACGCUGAAGACAUUUUGCCAACUAAAAGGAAAAUACAAAGAUCAACAAGAUUUUUAAGUGAUAGCAGAUGAUAAUAACGACAUUUUAUCAGGGAAACACAAAUUUCUACCACCACCAAAAAUUGCCAGAAUAUAUGAGAACACUGAAUCACCUCCAUUAUCAGAGAAACGUAUCCAACAAAUUGCAACAACAGAUAUAUUGAACUCUUCUAACAUUGAUCUUCAAAUACCGUAUGAUAAUACUCGACCUGAUAGGGUAUAUAAUUUCACAUCUUUUAAUAAUACUCCAACUACAUCAACUGCUGUGGAAAGUAACUCUCAAGAUGGUGUUUACUAUAAGACUACAGUAAUGAAGAAAUUAUUAUUCAUCGUUAUUCAUAUUAAAGAACAAAAUAACGAGAUUUUGACACUACUUAAUAAAAACCAAGUGACUCCAACUACUUCGACUCUAUUUAGAUUAGAAGACUUGCCAGUAAAUUUGCCUAUAUCGACCCAAGCAGAUUAAAAUAUUUUGGAAACAUACUUAAAAAAUAAUCAUAAUUUAUCAAUUAUGGUAAGCAAUUGUUAUUAAACCAAGAAAUUGUUAUUUUUCAUUAGUACAGGUUUUAAUUUCAUUUUGUAGUGUUUAUAUUUGGCCACAUUGGGUGGAAAAGAUCUUACAUCAAAAACGAAUAAAAUUUGCAGAUAUCUUU